UCUUUGACGGUAAAAACGCUGUAAUCAGCGGGCUACAUGAAAAAUUACUCUAAUUAUGGCUGCAUUUAAGAGAAUGGAAAAAAACCUUCUUGUGGAUAAAAACCUUAAAUUGUCCCCAAUGUCUGCUUCAAAUUGGAUGGCACUGCAGCUGGAGGCUUUGUUCAGAAUUGAUCCUGGGGAGCUCUGAACCCAAAGUUUCACAGUAGGAAGGGGGGGAAAAGAAAAGAAAACAUUUUUCUUAAUGUAACAAUGCGAGUGGUAGAAAAUGACAAGACUGAUCGGUUUUAAACCAUUCUGAAGACUGACUGAGCGUGGAAGUUGCUCAACAAAAAAAAGGAACUCGUAUAUUGAUGUGGCCUUCAGGAGAACCCCCUACAUACCAGCAGAGUGCCUCCACCAGAUAAGGAAGCAACCAAGGAAGAGUAAGGAGGACAUGAAUCAAGAGGUGCUCCAAUCCUCAGAGGCCAAAAAACAAGAAUGCAGGGCAUGGAGAGAGACUUUAAAAGAAAAUUAUAAAAUAUACAGGCAGGACAGAAAGGAGAGUCAAGAGUGAAUUUUAGUGGUUCAGGAGCAGAUUAUAAAAGUGAUGGAAGAGCAAAUGGAGAUAUUGAAGUCCCUAAUCAUGCUGCAUGAGACAUUCAUGAUGCUUCCCCGCCACCACAGCCGAUACAGAACUGCUUUCCAUGCCCCCCUGAAACUCCUCCCAUAUAUUCCUUGCAACUUCCUGGCCUGUCUAGGUACCCCAUUUAUUCCAUCCCUUCUGACAGCUUCAAAAUGAUAGCUGGACUUACACACAGCUAUAAGAGCCUACAUUGAUGUUCAUCGUUAUCUCCCUUCCCACCAAGCCUUUUGUGUGUGUUGUUAAUUAGUAUUUAAUAAAAACAAACUCUCUGAAAGAUAA
Caretta caretta (loggerhead turtle) is the source of this 901-nucleotide long non-coding RNA. RefSeq lists it as uncharacterized. The record is from RefSeq and is a predicted model, not a curated record. Lineage: Eukaryota; Metazoa; Chordata; Testudines; Cheloniidae.